This 426-nucleotide ribosomal RNA is filed under the name uncultured Pseudomonadota bacterium. RNAcentral's name for it is "bacterial SSU rRNA". It matches the Rfam family "Bacterial small subunit ribosomal RNA", at positions 356 to 774 of the family's 1533-position model. Lineage: Bacteria; Pseudomonadati; Pseudomonadota. The record is from RNAcentral.
GGGGAAUUUUGGACAAUGGGGGCAACCCUGAUCCAGCCAUGCCGCGUGAGUGAAGAAGGCCUUCGGGUUGUAAAGCUCUUUCGGCCGGGAAGAAAUCGUGCAGGCUAAUACCCUGUAUGGAUGACGGUACCGGAAUAAGAAGCACCGGCUAACUACGUGCCAGCAGCCGCGGUAAUACGUAGGGUGCGAGCGUUAAUCGGAAUUACUGGGCGUAAAGCGCACGUAGGCUGACUUUUAAGUCAGGGGUGAAAUCCCGGGGCUCAACCUCGGAACUGCCUUUGAUACUGGAAGUCUUGAGUCCGAGAGAGGUGAGUGGAACUCCGAGUGUAGAGGUGAAAUUCGUAGAUAUUCGGAAGAACACCAGUGGCGAAGGCGGCUCACUGGCUCGGUACUGACGCUGAGGUGCGAAAGCGUGGGGAGCAAACA